CUACGCCACGCCCCGCCGGAGCCGCCCCCUUCGCCGCGGGAGCCGCGGGCCGCUGGAGCCGCCCUUCGCCGCCCCGCCGCUCAGCUUGCCGGAGCCGCCCGCCGCACCCCGUUGGCCACGGGAGCCGCGUGCCGCCGAGCCGUUCCUCCACGACCACCACAACCAAGGCAGGGAGCGCUGCUCCAACCUCCUCUCCUAUGACUCCAAGUCUGACGACGCCCGCGACCAGGCGUGCUCCCCUCCAUGAGAUUUCAGGAUAGAAAGGGAGCUUUGGAGAGGGAUCGCAAAGAUCAAGGCUAUUGUGUCAAGUAAUAUGCUGAAAACGUCCAUUGGGUGCAUCCAUCUCGCCCCAGUUCAUCACCAACCACCGUGCAAUUUACAUCCACUGCGAUCAUGGAUGACCCCGUGAGACAUUGUCGUCAGUCCUAUUCUUCUAGAUACAAUGGGUCAGCUAAUACGCCAUUACUAUUUCUCCAAUAUUGUUCAUGAUCUCUUCGCCGCCCCUUGAUGCCGGGCUUGGAGCUCACCUGGCCCGCAUGACCCGGCCGCCUCUCCCACGCCGUGUCUGCCCAGCAGUCGCACUAGGCCAAGACGAGGACAAAGUCAAACCCCAGACAGCGUAGGGACUGAAGCAACAAUUUGUUCAUUUCGGACACUUGGUACUGGCACAGCGGAGUUAUUGUGGUAUAUGCCAGCAUGUUUGAUGCUGUCACACGAGCUGUUGAUAACUCGAUAUGCUAUGAGUUGUCCUUCUGAUGAAGAACUUUUUACUUACAUCUCAAUUUUCAUUGUGUCUGGAGGAUAAAUACUAAUACUAUCUCCUUUGAUCUUUUGGCUGUCCCUCGGGCCAUGAAUGUUCCUACUGGGGUGAAGGAGAACAUUCAGCUCAUGAGGGGGCUUCACAUGGUCGCCGAUAUCCAAUGCCUUGAUUGUCGUGAGGCGCUCGUGUGGAAGUGCAAGAUGGACUACGAGGAAUCACAGAAGUACAAGGAAUGGAAGUUCAUAUUUGAGAAGGCAAAUAUUGUACAUGAGAAUUGGUAGUAAAUAAAAAAGUCAACAAUGUGCCAAAAUGCUAUUAUGGAGAUGUGAAUUGUGAUCCCUGCCUUUGUACAUAGCAGUCACCUGUAAGUACCAAUUUGUUGGUCGCACCAUCUUAUUUCGCGUCAUAAUUUACACUUUUGUUUUCUAUGGAGAAUUUUGUUAAUUUGUCUCGGAACCAUUUUUUGUUCAUAGCUGGUUGGCUUAAGAAUGUUUGAUCUUUUUGUUAAACAUCGAAUUAAGAAAUGGAUCAACUUCUUGCUGUAA
This is a long non-coding RNA of Triticum aestivum (bread wheat), 1305 nucleotides long. RefSeq lists it as uncharacterized. NCBI's taxonomy places the organism in Eukaryota, Viridiplantae, Streptophyta, Magnoliopsida, Poales, Poaceae. The record is from RefSeq and is a predicted model, not a curated record. The transcript has 4 exons.